Molecule: ribosomal RNA, 253 nt
Filed under: uncultured bacterium
Lineage: Bacteria
Description: partial 16S ribosomal RNA
Rfam family: Bacterial small subunit ribosomal RNA
Source: RNAcentral
UACGUAGGGUGCAAGCGUUGUCCGGAAUUAUUGGGCGUAAAGCGCGCGUAGGCGGCUCGGAAAGUCGGUCGUGAAAUGCCGGGGCUCAACCCCGGGACUGCGUCCGAUACUCCCGAGCUGGAGGCAGGUAGGGGAGAUCGGAAUUCCUGGUGUAGCGGUGAAAUGCGCAGAUAUCAGGAGGAACACCGGUGGCGAAGGCGGAUCUCUGGGCCUUGCCUGACGCUGAGGCGCGAAAGCUAGGGGAGCGAACAGG